Molecule: ribosomal RNA, 689 nt
Filed under: Bacillus pumilus
Lineage: Bacteria; Bacillati; Bacillota; Bacilli; Caryophanales; Bacillaceae
Description: bacterial SSU rRNA
Rfam family: Bacterial small subunit ribosomal RNA
Source: RNAcentral
AUAUUGGGGCGUAAGGGCUCGCAGGCGGUUUCUUAAGUCUGAUGUGAAAGCCCCCGGCUCAACCGGGGAGGGUCAUUGGAAACUGGGAAACUUGAGUGCAGAAGAGGAGAGUGGAAUUCCACGUGUAGCGGUGAAAUGCGUAGAGAUGUGGAGGAACACCAGUGGCGAAGGCGACUCUCUGGUCUGUAACUGACGCUGAGGAGCGAAAGCGUGGGGAGCGAACAGGAUUAGAUACCCUGGUAGUCCACGCCGUAAACGAUGAGUGCUAAGUGUUAGGGGGUUUCCGCCCCUUAGUGCUGCAGCUAACGCAUUAAGCACUCCGCCUGGGGAGUACGGUCGCAAGACUGAAACUCAAAGGAAUUGACGGGGGCCCGCACAAGCGGUGGAGCAUGUGGUUUAAUUCGAAGCAACGCGAAGAACCUUACCAGGUCUUGACAUCCUCUGACAACCCUAGAGAUAGGGCUUUCCCUUCGGGGACAGAGUGACAGGUGGUGCAUGGUUGUCGUCAGCUCGUGUCGUGAGAUGUUGGGUUAAGUCCCGCAACGAGCGCAACCCUUGAUCUUAGUUGCCAGCAUUCAGUUGGGCACUCUAAGGUGACUGCCGGUGACAAACCGGAGGAAGGUGGGGAUGACGUCAAAUCAUCAUGCCCCUUAUGACCUGGGCUACACACGUGCUACAAUGGACAGAAC